This 430-nucleotide ribosomal RNA is filed under the name uncultured bacterium. RNAcentral's name for it is "bacterial SSU rRNA". It matches the Rfam family "Bacterial small subunit ribosomal RNA", at positions 918 to 1350 of the family's 1533-position model. The record is from RNAcentral.
GGCCCGCACAAGCGGUGGAGUAUGUGGUUUAAUUCGACGCAACGCGCAGAACCUUACCCAGUCUUGACAUCCCUGGACCACUAUGGAGACAUAGCUUUUCGACCUAACGGAAGAAUCAGGUGACAGGUGCUGCAUGGCUGUCGUCAGCUCGUGUCGUGAGAUGUUCGGUUAAGUCCGGUAACGAGCGCAACCCCUGUCCUUAGUUGCCAAUUAUGGAACUCUAAGGAGACUCCCGGUGUUAAACCGGCGGAAGAUGGGGAUGACGUCAAGUCCUCAUGGCCCUUAUCGGCUGGGGCUACACACGUACUACAAUGGCAACUACAGUGAGCAGCGAUCCCGCGAGGUUAGCUAAUCUCCAAAAGAUGUCUCAGUUCGGAUUGUUCUCUGCAACUCGAGAGCAUGAAGGCGGAAUCGCUAGUAAUCGCGGAUC